UGGAGGAUGUGGUUCAAUUCGAUGCUACGCGAAGAACCUUACCUGGGCUUGACAUGCAGGUGGUAGUGACCCGAAAGGGAAGCGACCGGGGUUUAUCCCUGGAGCCUGCACAGGUGCUGCAUGGCUGUCGUCAGCUCGUGCCGUGAGGUGUAUGGUUAAGUCCCGCAACGAGCGCAACCCUGCCCUAGUUGCUAACCCGCGAGGGUGCACUCUAGGGGGACUGCCUCCGUCAAGGAGGAGGAGGGUGGGGAUGAUGUCAAGUCAUCAUGGUCCUUAUGCCCAGGGCUACACACGUGUUACAAUGGCCGGUACAGAGGGCAGCUACCUGGUGACAGGAUGCUAAUCUCGAAAACCGGUCUCAGUUCGGAUCGAAGUCUGCAACUCGACUUCGUGAAGCUGGAUUCGCUAGUAAUCGCGCAUCAGCCAUGGCGCGGUGAAUACGUUCCCGGGCCUU
Molecule: ribosomal RNA, 454 nt
Filed under: uncultured bacterium
Lineage: Bacteria
Description: bacterial SSU rRNA
Rfam family: Bacterial small subunit ribosomal RNA
Source: RNAcentral